Acanthaster planci (crown-of-thorns starfish) is the source of this 7547-nucleotide long non-coding RNA. Lineage: Eukaryota; Metazoa; Echinodermata; Asteroidea; Valvatida; Acanthasteridae. The record is from RefSeq and is a predicted model, not a curated record.
AAGAUACCCCCCCAAAAAAAUCAGGUUCUCAAUUAUUAACAAAUUCAAAUUGUAGCACCACCUUUGAAGCCCCAAGCCUAAAGCUGCACUUUCAUUUGUCCAACAUCCCCUCAUGGUCGAGAAAUACAGUGUGCAUGACACUACAUUAUUAAAAUACUCUCAUGGCUGUUUAUAAAGAGCGUGCGACCUUCGCUGAAUGCACUUCAGUGAAUAAACCUCAAGGAUAUUUCUCUGCAACAUAAGGUACUGGGGUUCUCUCAUGCAUGAAGUAGACUAUUGAGGCCUUUGACAAAGGAUCACAAAGUGAAAUCUGUGACCGACCAUAAUAAGCCACUUUAGAGCGUCAGUGAAACAGUUAUUCAGCUCAUAAAUUUAUACUUGGCACAUAUCAGCUUUUUCUCUUCAUCUCGGUGUGUGACUGAUUCUGACUCGACCUGUUACUGAUAAUGUGGGAGGUGGAAUUUGGACAAAUUGUGCCCAUGAGUCUGUGAGAAAACUGCUAUUUGGCUGGGGAGCAGAAUGUGUGAAUAAUUUCAAGGAACCCCUAUCAAAAGAUUAAAUAUUCUGUCAAUACCUCACUGAAGGAAAGGACAGUGCAAGCUCUGAGCCUGUGCGUGUGAACUUCUGAGCAUCUCGUUAAACUGGGGGAUGAUAUGCUGUUGUGCCAAAGAGGAAAAAAAGGAGGUCUCAUCACAAGGAUAAAAACAUCUGAAUGAAACUUAUCAGUGCCAACAACAGCCGUCUGGACAUACAUAUAUUUCCAAGCACUGGAGCUGCGGAGAGGGACUGACGUCAAUACAUCUACAAUUUUUAUCAACGAAACAUCAAGCUUAGCGAGAGUCUGGUUGUGUUCAACACGUGAAUAGGAUACGAUAUCACAAGCCAUCAUGUCCGAGCAGAGAAGUUCCAGGACGAGUCCCACCUCCACCAUCAAGCGCCGGGGAGCCAUUCGCAGGAAACCCCACCACAGUCAUCCCACUGCUGACACCGAGAAUCCAAUCUUUGCCUACCUGGUCAAACUGUGGAACUUGACCAACUGGAUUCUGCCAGACGUGGUCAACAGAGUGCCCGAGGAACACCGGACUUUCGUCGCCCACUUGUUGGGCGUUCUCAAGAUAUGUCUGCUGCUCCUGGCGGGGCAUUUAUUACUUCGAGUUUUCUUUGGUGGUUAAUUUCUCUGUAUUUUCUCUGAUUGGUCAGUUUAAGUUUAAACUUGUACAUAGAAUUUCUACAAUGUGAAAGGCUUUUAUGUAAAUCUUGACUUGGAGGUGUCAAUGUGGUGCCUAGUCACAUCUACAUUUUGCAAUUUCUUUGCAACGUUGUAGUUAUGCCCAUUUCUUGCUUUUGGAAAAAACAUUGACAGGCAUACACACUUAACUUGAUAGCCUUACCAUUUUUUUUUUUUACCUGAAGAGAAAGAAUCUUCCUCCAUUUUUCGUGAUCCCCUUACCUGUUUUUAACAUUUUGUCAUGCCACAUCUCUGUGUUAAAAUAAAUGUCUUGCACGCUUCUCAAACCAUUUUGUACAAUUCAGAUGUAACAUUUUCGCAAAAUGAUCAAUUUUUGAAGUAAGAUGGGGAAAAAGUUUACGCUUUCAAGUGCAAUUCAAAAGAGCAGCUUUGUGCAAUGGUGAUAAGAAAUUCAUGAACUGAUGUAACCGUUGCAGUCAAAGCUUCCAUUGACUGAUCGACCAACUUUGUGCUGACCACAUCUCGACAUAGGAGGAUUAUCUAAUGAAUAUAACUGUAAAAAUGCUUUGUCCAACUUGGCUGAAACAUGGCUAGGUGGUUCUAAAUCAAAUUUGUUGCUUUUUGCUAUUGAAAGUGGCAGACAAGAACACUAAUGCCAUUUUUUGCCACUUUCUAUUUAAAGGUCAGUUUUCAAUGCAAGACCCUAUUUUGUCCAUCCAAAUUAUAGGUCAUCCCUAGCUUUAUUCAGUCAAAGAACAGAAUAAAGUGUUCCAAUUACUGAGUUAUAAUAUGAAGUUAUGAAUACGUACCGUUUAGUUGUCUGUCCUGAUGUCCAUCUAGCUACAGGGCAGGACUAUUCCACAUUUCACAAUUCACCUCUUGGCAAUCCAAAACAGCAGUAUGGAAUACUUCCAGGCUAAGUUCUGAGAUCAAGUCUUGGGGAGAAGUCAGAACAGGAUUGGGCCAAAAAAGUUUAUGCUGUGCAUGUACAACCCCAUAGUCUUCCAAAACAGAAAACAAUAUCUUCUCAGGCAUAUAAAGCAUAUCAAAUGUGUCCUUCCUCUUCUGGAUGUAAUCCUAUCCUUAUGAUCACUCAAAAAAAAAAAAAAUUUGAAGCAGUUCCUUGUCAUUCAAAACUCAUUUCUGUGUAAACAUGGGGUACAUGUACAUGUACAUGUGGAUUACAAUGAAGUCUUGCCACAAGACUUGUAACACAUACGUGUACCAAUCAUGUAAUACAUCUUCAAUGAAAGACUGUUUGGAUCCAGACUAACUACAACUGAUCCUGAUUUCCUCUGCGACAUUCCAAGCAGAACUGUUGGCAAACUAGAUCUCAAACUGUUAACUGAGGAUAUUCCAUACGACCCCUAAGGACUCGCAUGUGAACACAAACGCUAGUGUAAUUCAGCAACCGGAAAUGGAAGCCAUUACUACGAUGGCACCACGCUCGUGGACCAGUGGUACGCACGCGAUACAUGCCUCUCUGACCAAUAGGGUGCAUUGAUUUGUCAAGUGUAAGGAUGCAUCAAGCUUAAGAACCACGAGUGCAGUGCAGUGUAACCUUUUCAAGAGUCAAUGCACAGUGUGACCAUUUUUAAUUGGUAGGGAAACUUUUGACCAGAUUGUAUGGAAUCUGGAGUGUUCCAACAAUGUUUGGGAUUCCGAAAAUAAUUGUGAGUUCCAUCGCAAAACCACGCUGAAGAAACACAAGCUAUUUUCUGGAGACAGAUACCAACUAACCGUGAAGUACUGUAUGUGUAUUCCACUAUUUUCCUUGCCCAUAACUUCCAAAGUUUUCUGCAGACAAGAAGAAUUACUUCUUACUAAUAAUUGUUAACUAAGCCUGGUUUUAGGGGCACGAGGUCACAAUUAUCACAUGAGAGUGUGCAAUCACGUGUGUGAAUGGCAGAAGUUCAUAUACCGCCUUGCUGUUUUAAUACGAGAAUGUGAAUGCAGAAAAAAUGGGACAGGGUCAAUAUUUUCAUGCAUAAAUUUUUAGCAAUAAAACAUUCAAGGUUGUUACUAAUAGUACUAUGAAAACAGAAUUUUAAAUACAAAAGCAUUUUAAAUUUCAGUGUUGCUAUAAGCCCCUUUCCAAAGUCAUCAAGUUCAUUUAAACAAAUGGUUGUACCUGUCAGAAGGAAUGACCCUUGCCAAACCAGACAAUCUCUGAAACUCAGACUUGCAAGAUUAUGUAAUUUGGAGCUGCAUUGUGAACCUUUAGGGUCAUGUCUUGCAUACCUGUGUCAGGUGUGAGUCCCAAUACCCAAAGUCCUACUCAUUUAGAAUACUCAGUCACCCCUGUCUCAGUUCUCAAGCUUGAUUCCCACUGCAUAACAAUCACAUCUUGGUUUUGUACUCGAUGACUCAGAACAGGUCUGAACUCUAGCACUAGCAAAUUAAAAUAAUAUACAUGUACAUGUAAGUCUUAUUGUGCCUAAAGACUCGAUAAAAAUGUCAGGAUCUUUAAUAUACAAUGCAAUCUGUGUAUGAAAUAAAAGUACAUGUAUUCUUCUACAUGGAGGGAAUGUUUGAAACGUCACCAACAAGGUUGUUACUGCCUAAACGAUUGCACAAUGAUCCGCUGACAAUCAUAAAAUAAUAAAUUAGGUAAAUCUGAUUAACAUGUAUGUAUGUAUUUAUGCGGACUGAUACAGGAAAAAACUGAAACCAACAUUAAAAAUAGGAACGUGGAAAAGCAACUGAGCCACCCAACCAUUUAUAUAUCUUUAUGUGUUGCACCAGAGAAUUCAAUUGAAAUUGAAUUAAAUUGAGUGUGUGACCUUGCUUUUCUAAAAAAAAAAACAAAGCUCACUCAUGAAAUGGUACACGUAACUUCAAAUCCUUAAGUUUUUCAGUUAAAUUUUUGUCUUGGCUCGUUGCUCUAGGAAUAAGAAUUCAAGAGUAUUGACAACUCGGAAUUGGAACAUUUUUCUGCAUGACUUAAACACUCUUGUCAUGGAAACAGGUCUGACAUGCACAGACCUAUAAACAUCCCGCCCACCUGAGUUGUCAAGCCCCUCCCUUCCCUCUUCCCCAUUUUAAGUAUUGAGGCCAUGAAUCACACUGAUACAUUUAUGUACAUGUAUUGGUAUUAGGCAAGGUCAGCACACUUGAACAGAGUCUUACAAAAUGUACUGCACGGUCCAUUCCAUUACAAACAAGGAAAUACUCAUAAAGCAAAACAUCUCCAAUCUGCUUUCCCUGGCUGGAAAAAGCACAAUCUUAAGAGUACAAGCUGAUUGAUGUCUAACUCCACUGCUAAAACAGUUGCUCGACAACUCUUCAUUGUUUCCUGUUUGAACUUUGAAAACAACAAACUGGGUGUACAAACUAGCCAGGAGCAAUGUCAGUUUUUGUUUGGGGGCAUGCUGCAGGAGUGCAGUAUCUCUGAACACUUGGCUGCUCACGUGAAGCAGCAUGAAACUCGCAGAGAUCUGGACAACUCCAGAAUGAGUCAACGUGUAAGGGCUGCAUCCAAAGCACACAGCUAUGGCUAAAAAAUUACACAUGCCCCCAUGGAAGCCAUCAGCUAGUGGCUUUGUCCAUUUCCCAUCGACCUUUGUGAUCUCCAACCACAGUCAAGUCAUUCUGACACAGCCCAAAGUCAAUGGAUAGUGAUGUCAAAUGUCAAAAAACCACUGAAUAUCUGUUCGUUCAUACCUUAAAAUAAACUUUCUCUGUGAGUAGCGAAGUCAGUCAACAAAUGACAUGUAAUGAACAGUACCAUAGUACCUCAAGAGGAAAAAGUACAUCAAUGUAACUUCUUAACCUGUGAUAACUUUCUAAAUUUACUAUGUACAUGGUUUUUAUGUACAACUUCAAAAAAUCACAUAAAAGGAAGACCUUGAGCUUAACAGAGAAAACUAUUUUGAUGUUCUCAAACCAGAGGGUGGACACCAACACCAGAAAGUAUGUUAACAAACUUCUUGACAAGAGUAAACCACUUCCCCUUCAUCAUUACAUCAACUGUACACUUCCGAAUACAACAAUACAUUCAAACUGAUCGUAUGUGAUAAAGACAUACCAGUACAAGGUGAAUACUUUCCCCAGAACCAAUGUAAGAUUGAACUAUCCCCUGGAAAUAGAAGAGCUACUUUUAUCCACAUGUGUCGUCACAAUCAUUUUGAUAACAAUGUGCUGCUUCUUUACUGGUAGGGUCAUCCCUGUUUUGCCAACUUCAGAAAGAUCUACUUGUUCAAUUAAGAUCAUAAAACGUGCAAAAAAUAAUUUAUCUUGUCUCCUGUCAUCUAAAAACCCCUCACUGCCAUUUUUUUAAGAUUCUUGUUGCUGUACUUUCAAUUGAUACUUUUAGUAUCGAUUGAUUUUUCAAGACCAGGUGUGUACGGAUUUAUAGCACACUCCAGACUUAUGGUUUUGUACCUGUUCAUAGUCUGCAACUGAUAAAGAAAGCUUACAUAGGCCAUGUCUGCUAUGGACAUCAUCUCCAUGGCAACAGCUAUUCUUUGUAUACUACCAAUACCUGAUUGCACAAGACACCUGAUUCUUAAUUAGACCAAGACACGUCCAUUUCUCAUUUGCAUGGCAGUCAGCACACUGUGACGUCAUGUGCUUGUAGUGGUACAUGUACAUUUAACCAUGCUCAACAGCCAAAAUUCAAUUUGUCAAAGGUCACCAGGGCCCAAUACGCGCAAUUCACAAUAGUGAUCCUCCAAGAGCUUGCAGUGUGUUUGCCAAUCACGAUGCGCGACAUCUGUCGACCCAGUGCGCAUUUGGAAAGGGUCAACAGAUUUUGCGCGCUGUGAUUGGCCAACACGUUGCGAAGUCUUGGAGACACACUAUUGUGAAUUGCCUAUAUUUUAGGGUGCCGCUAAGCACACGAUUUUACACUGAGGCUCUGUGCACGGUAUUUCAUGGAGACCCUGAGCUGUAAGCACGGCAAAAAGCGCACUUAUCUUGGAGGAAAAAGUCUUAACAUUUUGACUAAACAAUGGAAAUUUCUAUGCGAGGACAACCAUAAACACAACCACGAAUGCCAGGAAACAGUGGUUAAGGUUAACAAAACUUUUCUGCUGUCGUAAGUACGCCUUUUCGGCUGUUACGCAACUCCAUGAAAUUGAGCCCAGGAGUAUGCUAUGGUCGAUAUUGGGUAUUUUUAUAAUGAAUACCGCCAUAUUCCAGCGUGUUUCAUUAGGAUAUUGACGUGCACAUGACAAUUUAAACUCAUAUGACACCGUAAUAUAUUUACAACUGACAGCUUUUUUGGUUUUGACAAAAAAUACAUUUAAAAUGUGUUCAUACCGGGGAUUACAAAAUUAAAAUAUAUGAAUUUUAACAGAUCUGGGAGAUUUACAACAACUCACAGAAGUGCUAGACAACAUGAUUAAAAACUACGUGUACCAUGCUGAGUUCGAAGUCCUUUCUUUUGAAAUCAAAAUGACAGUUGUUUAUCACUUCAAUUUCAGCGAAAACAUAAUAACCAUAGCAACAUUAUUUCCUCCAAACAGUAUUUUUAGAAUUCCUCUUUAAAAAUUUAACCACCCAAAGUCAUUUUUGUGACUUCAUGACAAUAGCUUAAAACGACAAAAAAUAUGAAAUACAAAAUUACAAAGCAAGUAAUUUUCAACAUAGCAAAAGUACAUAACCUUUUAUCAAUGAAAACACCACAUCGAAAAAUGAUUCCAUGGAUACCUGUUUAUAUUUCAGGCUUCAAUCAAUCAAGUUAAAUAUACAAAUAAGUGUCCUUGCAAUAUGAAGGAUGUUUAGAGUGAUCCACUUCAGAGCUGUAGCUUCUUCCUCUAUGACUGAACAGAGCAACUACACAAUGAGUAAUCAGAAUAAGUCCCAUUUCAUAAUAACUACUGACACUGAAUUGUUGGCACCAGUAGAGCAAGACUACUGACCGGAACCAGACUAAAACCUACAACCUCUGGUUAAAACCCAAGUUAUUGUCACUGCAAUAAAGUAUGCUGAUUUGUUGAGUAACUCUCCUUCUCAGUCACAGUUAAAAAUCUUGUACACUUACAAUUGUCAGUCAGUUUAUGAGGACAAUUCCAAACCCUUAUUCUCAAACUCCAAGUGUACAAUUUUAUGAUUUUGAAUCACAAUGGCUUUAAUCAAAGUACAACCAAUGAUUUUCUCGGCAGGUACAGCUUCUUCCCUUUCACGGAGUAACCAAGGGCUCCUGACAGUUUGGGAUAUGGGUGUAUCUGUGAGGCUAUGAAGUACAUGACAUGUAACACGAGAUGUUUUUAUUUUUCACGGUACCUUCCAAUCCAGUGGGAUUGCAUGCAACCACUUUGGCCAUUUUUGCAUCAGCUGAACCUCAAAUGUCAACAGCGCGAGCGCACAGGGUCCUCUUUUCAUUAUUGACGGUCCAGACAUUUCCGAGCAAAAU